UUACGGCCACAUCAUAUUGAAACACUAUUUCCCAAACAAUCACAGAAGUUAAGAAAUGUUGAGCCAGGUCAGUACCUAGAAGGGUGACCACUUGGGAAUACCAGGUGCUGUAAG
This is a non-coding RNA of Acanthosepion pharaonis, 114 nucleotides long. The record is from the annotation of a GenBank genome assembly. NCBI's taxonomy places the organism in Eukaryota, Metazoa, Mollusca, Cephalopoda, Sepiida, Sepiidae.